AACGAACGCUGGCGGCAUGCCUAACACAUGCAAGUCGAACGAGACCUUCGGGUCUAGUGGCGCACGGGUGCGUAACGCGUGGGAACCUGCCCUUAGGUUCGGCAUAACUCCCCGAAAGGGGUGCUAAUACCGGAUAAUGUCUUCGGACCAAAGAUUUAUCGCCUUUGGAUGGGCCCGCGUUGGAUUAGCUAGUUGGUAGGGUAAAAGCCUACCAAGGCGACGAUUCAUAGCUGGUCUGAGGGGAUGAUCAGCCACACUGCGACUGAGACACGGCCCAGACUCCUACGGGAGGCAGCAGUGGGGAAUAUUGGACAAUGGGCGAAAGCCUGAUCCAGCAAUGCCGCGUGAGUGAUGAAGGCCUUAGGGUUGUAAAGCGCUUUUACCCGGGAUGAUAAUGACAGUACCGGGAGAAUAAGCUCCGGCUAACUCCGUG
RNAcentral lists this ribosomal RNA (433 nucleotides) under uncultured bacterium. Its description in RNAcentral is "partial 16S ribosomal RNA". It matches the Rfam family "Bacterial small subunit ribosomal RNA", at positions 29 to 507 of the family's 1533-position model. The record is from RNAcentral.